UUUCAUGCUCCAAACAGCAAGUGAAUAUCAAAUUCAUUACAUAUUUUUCUUAUCACCUUGAAAUUUAUAUACCUUGGUACAAUUUUUGUAGUAUUAUAUUUAUAAAAGAAUAUGGACCAAACAUUGGACCUGGAAGAUAACUCCUUUCAUAGCUUUUCAUCUUAACAAUAGCAGCAUCCAGUAUCUGGUUAUAUGUCAGAAAGAACGGGCUUUAACUGGAAUGACUUGUGAGAAUGGCUUACUUGGGGAAAUGGGAGCUUGAGUUUUCACAGCUAACUUUGUGUUUCCUCUGAAGUUAUUCAAAAUGGCUCAUUUUUCAGAUUAUUAUCCUAAUUUCCCUAUACAAGCCAUGAUAAAAGGAGUGAUUCAAGCAUUAGUUAAAUAAUACAGCUUGCGUGAAUCCCAGAUUUGCUAAUAAAAAGAGGAAGUUUUCUUUUCUUUUGGCCAUUUAUCUGCUUCAUAUUAUAUUAUAAUAUAUGUGUAGCCUUUCACUUAAAUGUAUAUCUGCCUCUGUGUUUUUUGCAAGAUAGGAGGAGUGGUCCUUAGCCUUGGAAAUCUCUCGACUCCGUAUUCUUGGGCUUUUGUUGGUUUGCCAGCUACAGAAGUCAUCACCUCAAGCUUUAUCUGACAAUCUUGAAAUAGUGAUGCUUCUUUGUGUUGACACUCUCACUUUAUCAGCUAGGUACUGAAAAUUUAUGGAUUUUGAUGGCAACAAAAAGAACGACCAUGAACUACUUCCCCAGCGUUGGCUACUUCUUGAUUGCAAUUUGACUUGCAUCUGCUGUCCACUCAUUUAAUGCGGCUGAUAAUGAACAAAAAGCUUAAAAGUUUUCCAUCUCAUCAGAAAGGAGGGUGUGUUAUUGUUGUUCAGAUGUUAUGAUUAGAGAGACAUAUUUUUUUGGUUAAGCAUUUGUUCAUGAAAAUGAGUUACACAAUGUUGAGAUAAUUCUACCAUGAAAACUCAAGACUUCCGCAUAGUUGUUUUUUGACAUCUAUAGGCUGAUGCAUUCCUUAAUUUUAAUUUUUUGACAUAGUUACAGAUGUCCACAUUGCCAGAUAAGGUUGGGCCAGAAGAUCUAAAAGAUGGUCAUGUCUCUUCCAAGAAGACUAAAGCCGAGACUGCAGAGUUUCUAUUUCAGCUUGAGAGAAGAAGAUCAAUCAAAGUUGGUAGUUCUAGUUCUUUUAUUAGAACAUAAUCAACACAGCACAGCAGUUCCUUAUUCGUAAACAGAUUUAAUUCAAUAUAUAAAAUCAUUAACUUAAAUGCA
Humulus lupulus (European hop) is the source of this 1268-nucleotide long non-coding RNA. RefSeq lists it as uncharacterized. The transcript is spliced from 3 exons. The record is from RefSeq and is a predicted model, not a curated record. Lineage: Eukaryota; Viridiplantae; Streptophyta; Magnoliopsida; Rosales; Cannabaceae.